This 300-nucleotide ribosomal RNA is filed under the name Triticum aestivum (bread wheat). RNAcentral describes it as "partial small subunit ribosomal RNA". Lineage: Eukaryota; Viridiplantae; Streptophyta; Magnoliopsida; Poales; Poaceae. The record is from RNAcentral.
AUGCAGGAGUUCCGGGCAAUGUCGCAGCAGUUCGAGGCGGGAGCUCGUCAGGAAGUGCAGAGGCUCAAGGCCUCUAUGUCUCAACUGCAGGCAGCCCUGCACGAGUUGUAGAGCAUCGGGUUGCACUCGGACGACGCCGGAAUCGGGACUACAGAAGCCAGGAAGGUCGGCCUCAUUGUUAAGAAGGCGAAGCUGGACGCGACCCUGGCUGCAGCCCGCCCGUUGAGAGCACCGCUUCGGCAGCAGCUCCAGAAAGCCUUCGCAUCAUAGGUUAGGGAUCAAAAAGCAGCACAUGACUGA